RNAcentral lists this ribosomal RNA (253 nucleotides) under uncultured bacterium. Its description in RNAcentral is "partial 16S ribosomal RNA". It matches the Rfam family "Bacterial small subunit ribosomal RNA", at positions 524 to 776 of the family's 1533-position model. The record is from RNAcentral.
UACAGAGGGUGCGAGCGUUAAUCGGAAUUACUGGGCGUAAAGCGUGCGUAGACGGCAGCGUAAGUCAGAUGUGAAAGCCCCGGGCUCAACCUGGGAAUUGCAUUUGAGACUGCUCUGCUCGGGUGCGGAAGAGGGAAGCGGAAUUUCCGGUGUAGCGGUGAAAUGCGUAGAUAUCGGAAGGAACACCAGUGGCGAAAGCGGCUUCCUGGUCCGACACCGACGUUCAGGCACGAAAGCGUGGGGAGCAAACAGG